ACAGACAGUCCACAGAGCAGCAUCAGGAUGGAAGGGAUCUUCAUUGGUGUCUUGUGUCUCUCAGGGUGCCUCACCUUCUCCACAUGCCUCCUCCAUCAGUACCACUUUGUGCCUGAUAAGAUGACUUGGACUGAAGCUCAGAGCUACUGCAGAGAGACGUA
Long non-coding RNA from Hippoglossus stenolepis (Pacific halibut), 161 nucleotides. RefSeq lists it as uncharacterized. NCBI's taxonomy places the organism in Eukaryota, Metazoa, Chordata, Actinopteri, Pleuronectiformes, Pleuronectidae. The transcript has 2 exons. The record is from RefSeq and is a predicted model, not a curated record.